GCCAGCGUAGGUCAAUGGUAGAGCGUCAGGCUUUUACUUGGUUGGAAAUUUCCAAAAAUCUUCCAAAUAGUUGCAACCUGAAUGUUGCGGUCGACCCCCGCCGUUGGCU
Molecule: transfer RNA, 109 nt
Filed under: Penicillium expansum
Lineage: Eukaryota; Fungi; Ascomycota; Eurotiomycetes; Eurotiales; Aspergillaceae
Rfam family: tRNA
About the family: Transfer RNA (tRNA) molecules are approximately 80 nucleotides in length.
Source: Rfam by way of RNAcentral